UGCUCUGUGAUGCGCUCUCGAAGAGUCGAGUUGUUUGGGAAUGCAGCUCAAAAUGGGUGGUGAACUCCAUCUAAAGCUAAAUAUUGGCGAGAGACCGAUAGCGAACAAGUACCGUGAGGGAAAGAUGAAAAGCACUUUGGAAAGAGAGUGAAACAGUACGUGAAAUUGUUGAAAGGGAAACGCUUGAAGUCAAGUCGCGUCGACCGAGACUCAGCCUUGCCUCGGCUUGGUGUACUUCUCGGCCCGACGGGUCAGCGUCAAUUUUGCCCCUCGGAUAAUGGCAAGGGAAAGGUGGC
Molecule: ribosomal RNA, 296 nt
Filed under: Lactarius sp. JB9
Lineage: Eukaryota; Fungi; Basidiomycota; Agaricomycetes; Russulales; Russulaceae
Description: partial 28S ribosomal RNA
Rfam family: Eukaryotic large subunit ribosomal RNA
Source: RNAcentral